Molecule: ribosomal RNA, 837 nt
Filed under: uncultured bacterium
Lineage: Bacteria
Description: bacterial SSU rRNA
Rfam family: Bacterial small subunit ribosomal RNA
Source: RNAcentral
GACGAACGCUGGCGGCACGCCUAACACAUGCAAGUCGAACGCCCUCUUCGGAGGGAGUGGCGGACGGGUGAGUAACGCGUGGGAACCUGCCCCGUGGUGGGGAAUAACCCAGGGAAACUUGGGAUAAUACCGCAUAAGCCCGACGGUUUUGGAGAUCGUCGGGGAAAGAUUUAUCGCCACGGGAUGGGCCCGCGUCGGAUUAGCUUGUUGGUGAGGUAACGGCUCACCAAGGCGACGAUCCGUAGCUGGUCUGAGAGGACGACCAGCCACACUGGGACUGAGACACGGCCCAGACUCCUACGGGAGGCAGCAGUGGGGAAUCUUGGACAAUGGGCGAAAGCCUGAUCCAGCAAUGCCGCGUGAGUGAUGAAGGCCUUAGGGUUGUAAAGCUCUUUUACCCGGGAUGAUAAUGACAGUACCGGGAGAAUAAGCCCCGGCUAACUCCGUGCCAGCAGCCGCGGUAAUACGGAGGGGGCUAGCGUUGUUCGGAAUUACUGGGCGUAAAGCGCACGUAGGCGGCUUUGUAAGUUAGAGGUGAAAGCCCGGGGCUCAACUCCGGAAUUGCCUUUAAGACUGCAUCGCUAGAAUUGUGGAGAGGUAAGUGGAAUUCCGAGUGUAGAGGUGAAAUUCGUAGAUAUUCGGAAGAACACCAGUGGCGAAGGCGACUUACUGGACACAUAUUGACGCUGAGGUGCGAAAGCGUGGGCAGCAAACAGGAUUAGAUACCCUGGUAGUCCACGCCGUAAACGAUGAUGACUAGCUGUCCGGGCACUUAGUGCUUGGGUGGCGCAGCUAACGCGUUAAGUCAUCCGCCUGGGAGUACGGCCGCAAGGUUAA